This 206-nucleotide unclassified non-coding RNA is filed under the name uncultured Thelephoraceae. RNAcentral's name for it is "sequence contains ITS1". The record is from RNAcentral. Lineage: Eukaryota; Fungi; Basidiomycota; Agaricomycetes; Thelephorales; Thelephoraceae.
CUGAGUCGUCGAAACGAGUUGUUGCUGGCCCUCCAAACGGGGGGCAUGUGCACGCUCUGUUCACACAUCCACUCACACCUGUGCACCCCUCUGUAGUUCUAUGGUCUGGAGGGCGCUUGCCGUCUUCCUCCUGUAGUUCUACGUCUUUACACACACACCGUAGUGAAGUCUUAUGGAACGUGCGCGGCGUUUAACGCAAUACAAUA